GCCGGGUGCGGUGGCGCGCGCCUGUAAUCCAAGCUACCGGGAGGCUGAGGCUGGCGGAUCGUUUGAGCUCAGGAGCUCUGAGCUGCAGCGGACUAUGCCGAUCGGGUGUCCGCACUAAGUUCGGUAUCGAUAUGGUGUUCCUGGGGAAGCCUGGGACCACCAGGUCGCCUAAGGAGGGGUGCACCGGCCCAGGUCGGAAACGGAGCAGGUCAAAGCCCCCGUGCCGCUCAGUAGUGGGAUCGCGCCUGUGAAUAGACGCUGUAGUGCAGCCUGAGUAAUACAGCGAGACCCAGUCUUUU
RNAcentral lists this signal recognition particle RNA (299 nucleotides) under Sphaeramia orbicularis (orbiculate cardinalfish). RNAcentral's name for it is "Metazoan signal recognition particle RNA (ENSSORG00005020273.1)". It matches the Rfam family "Metazoan signal recognition particle RNA". Rfam says of the family: The signal recognition particle (SRP) is a universally conserved ribonucleoprotein. It is involved in the co-translational targeting of proteins to membranes. Lineage: Eukaryota; Metazoa; Chordata; Actinopteri; Kurtiformes; Apogonidae. The record is from Rfam by way of RNAcentral.